GACGAACGCUGGCGGCGUGCUUAACACAUGCAAGUCGAACGGAAAGGCCCUGCAUGUGUGGGGUGCUCGAGUGGCGAACGGGUGAGUAACACGUGAGUAACCUGCCCUUGACUUUGGGAUAACGUCAGGAAACUGGGGAUAAUACCGGAUAGGAGCUCCUGCGGCAGGGUGGGGGUGGGAAAGUUUCGGCGGAUGGGGAUGGACUCGCGGCUUAUCAGCGUGUUGGUGGGGUAGUGGAUUACCAAGGCUUUGACGGGUAGCCGGCCUGAGAGGGUGACCGGCCACAUGGGUACUGAGAGACGGCGCAGACUCCUACGGGAGGCAGCAGGGGGGAAUAUUGCACAAUGGGCGGAAGCCUGAUGCAGCAACGCCGCGUGCGGGAUGACGUCCUUCGGGUUGUAAACCGCUUUCGCCUGUGACGAAGCGUGAGUGACGGUAAUGGGUAAAGAAGCACCGGCUAACUACGUG
Molecule: ribosomal RNA, 468 nt
Filed under: uncultured bacterium
Lineage: Bacteria
Description: partial 16S ribosomal RNA
Rfam family: Bacterial small subunit ribosomal RNA
Source: RNAcentral